Molecule: transfer RNA, 72 nt
Filed under: Camelus bactrianus (Bactrian camel)
Lineage: Eukaryota; Metazoa; Chordata; Mammalia; Artiodactyla; Camelidae
Also listed under: 3 other names
Rfam family: tRNA
About the family: Transfer RNA (tRNA) molecules are approximately 80 nucleotides in length. Their secondary structure includes four short double-helical elements and three loops (D, anti-codon, and T loops).
Source: Rfam by way of RNAcentral
GAGGGUGUAGCUCAGUGGUAGAGUGUGUGCUUAGCAUGCACAAGGUCCUGGGUUCAAUCCCCAGUACCUCCA